RNAcentral lists this ribosomal RNA (464 nucleotides) under Vreelandella stevensii. Its description in RNAcentral is "partial 16S ribosomal RNA". It matches the Rfam family "Bacterial small subunit ribosomal RNA", at positions 338 to 795 of the family's 1533-position model. Lineage: Bacteria; Pseudomonadati; Pseudomonadota; Gammaproteobacteria; Oceanospirillales; Halomonadaceae. The record is from RNAcentral.
CCUACGGGAGGCAGCAGUGGGGAAUAUUGGACAAUGGGCGAAAGCCUGAUCCAGCCAUGCCGCGUGUGUGAAGAAGGCCUUCGGGUUGUAAAGCACUUUCAGUGGGGAAGAAAGCCUUGGGGCUAAUACCCUCGAGGAAGGACAUCACCCACAGAAGAAGCACCGGCUAACUCCGUGCCAGCAGCCGCGGUAAUACGGAGGGUGCGAGCGUUAAUCGGAAUUACUGGGCGUAAAGCGCGCGUAGGCGGUCUGAUAAGCCGGUUGUGAAAGCCCCGGGCUCAACCUGGGAACGGCAUCCGGAACUGUCAGGCUAGAGUGUAGGAGAGGAAGGUAGAAUUCCCGGUGUAGCGGUGAAAUGCGUAGAGAUCGGGAGGAAUACCAGUGGCGAAGGCGGCCUUCUGGACUGACACUGACGCUGAGGUGCGAAAGCGUGGGUAGCAAACAGGAUUAGAUACCCUGUAGUC